UACGGGGGGAGCAAGCGUUGUUCGGAAUUACUGGGCGUAAAGCGCGUGUAGGCGGUCCGGUAAGUCCGCUGUGAAAGUUGGGGGCUCAACCCUCGAAUGCCGGUGGAUACUGUCGGGCUAGAGUGCGGAAGAGGCGAGUGGAAUUCCUGGUGUAGCGGUGAAAUGCGCAGAUAUCAGGAGGAACACCAAUUGCGAAGGCAGCUCGCUGGGACGUUACUGACGCUGAGACGCGAAAGCGUGGGGAGCAAACAGG
Molecule: ribosomal RNA, 253 nt
Filed under: uncultured bacterium
Lineage: Bacteria
Description: partial 16S ribosomal RNA
Rfam family: Bacterial small subunit ribosomal RNA
Source: RNAcentral